GCUCCCAUAGUUUAAUGGAUAAAACAAGAGACUUCUAAUCUCUAGAUUUAGGUUCGAUUCCUAGUGGGAGCACAA
Molecule: transfer RNA, 75 nt
Filed under: Candidatus Campbellbacteria bacterium RIFCSPHIGHO2_12_FULL_35_10
Lineage: Bacteria; Candidatus Campbelliibacteriota
Also listed under: 2 other names
Description: tRNA-Arg
Rfam family: tRNA
About the family: Transfer RNA (tRNA) molecules are approximately 80 nucleotides in length. Their secondary structure includes four short double-helical elements and three loops (D, anti-codon, and T loops).
Source: RNAcentral